Molecule: long non-coding RNA, 5610 nt
Filed under: Canis lupus familiaris (dog)
Lineage: Eukaryota; Metazoa; Chordata; Mammalia; Carnivora; Canidae
Description: lncRNA (ENSCAFG00845002035.1)
Source: RNAcentral
UUUUACUUUAUUUUUAAAAAGAUUUUAUUUAUUUAUUCCUGAGAGACACAGAGAGAAGGCAGAGACAUAGGCAGAGGGGGAAGCAGGCUCCUCGCAGGAAGCCCAAUGUUGGACUUGAUCCUGGGACUCUGGGACCACACCUUGGGCCAAAGGCAGACACUCAAUCACUGAGCCACCCAGGCAUCACUUUUUCUAGGUUUUAAAGUAGAAACUGAGGUAACUAUUUGUCACAUUUCUUCCUUUUUAGUAUAAGCAUUUAACUUUCUUCAAAACACCACUUUAACUUCAUAAUAUGAGUUUUGAUGCUAUUUUUUGUUAUCAUUCAGUUCAAAGUAUUUUGUAAUUUUUUUAUUCUAAAUGUAUUGUAUUAUUUAUAAAUAUUUGGGAAUUAAAAACACUUUCAAUUAUUUUUUUAAUAAAUUUAUUUUCUAUUGGUGUUCAAUUUGCCAACAUAUAGAAUAACUUUCAGUAUUGAUAUCUAGUUUAAUUUACUUUUGGUCAUAAAAUUAAAAUUACUAACUAUAUUAAUGCCAGAGUAACAAUACCUAUAUUAGACAAACUAGAUCUUAAACCAAAGACUAUAACAAGAAAUGAAGAAGGGCACUAUAUCAUAAUAAAAGGGAUGAUCCAACAAGAGGAUCUAAUAAUUAUAAAUAUUUAUGCCCCCAACAUGGGAGCACUCAAAUAUAUAAAACAAUUAAGAAUAAACAUAAAGGAACUAACUGAUAAUAAUACAAUAAUAGUGGGGACACCCCACUUAUAUUAAUAGAUCAUCUAAGCAGAAAGUCAACAAGGAAACAAUGGCUUUGAAUGACACACUGGACCACAUGGACUCAACAUAUAUAUUCAUAACAUUCCAUCCUAAAGAAGCAGAAUACACAUUCUCUUCAAAUACAUAUGGAACAUACUAGGUAACAUACUAAGUCACAAAUCAGGCCUCAUCAGGUACAAAAAGAUUAAUAUCAUACUAUGCAUAUUUUCCAAUCAUAACACUAUAAAACUUGAAGUCAACAACAAGAAAAACUUUGGAAAGACCAUAAAUACACUACUGAACAAUGAAUGGUUCAACCAGGAAAUCAAAGAAGAAAUUUAAAAAUACAUGGAAACAAAUGAAAAUGAAAACACAGCAGUUCAAAAUCUUUGAGAUGCAGCAAAAGCCAUAAGAGGGAAGAAUAUAGCAAUACAGGCCUACUUCAAGAAGCAAGAAAAAUCUCAAAUAAACAACGUAACCUUGCACCUAAAGAAGCUAGAAAAAAAAGCCUAAAGCCAGCAGAGGAAGGGAAAUAAUAAAAGUUAAAGCUGAAAUAAAUGAUAUAGAAACUAAAAAAUAAUGGAACAGAUCAACGAAACCAGGAGCUGGUUCUUUGAAAAUAACAUUGACAAACCUUCAGCCAAACUUCUCAAAAAGAAAAGACAAAUGACCCAAAUAAAAAAAGUCACAAAUGAAAGAGGAGAAAUCAAAACCAACACCACAGAAAUACAAUUACAAGAGAAUAUUAUAAUAAACUACAUGCCAACAGCAGAUUGGACAAUAUUGCAGAAAUGAAUAAAUUCUUAGAAAUAUAUAAACACCAAAACAGAAAGAAAUAGAAAAUUUGAACCAAAAAUCUCCCAAUCAACAAAAGUCCAGAGCCAGAUGGCUUCAUGAGUAAAUUCUACCAAACAAUUAAAGAGCAGCUUAUAUCUAUUCCUCUCAAACUAUUCCAAAAAAUAGAAAUGGAAGGAAAGCUUCCAAAUUCAUUCUAUGAGGUCAACGUUAUCCUGAUACCAAAAUGAGACAAAGACUGCACUAAAAAAGAAAACCACAAGUCAAUAUCCCUGAUGAACAUAAACACAAAAAUUCUCAAUAAAAUGCUAUCAAAUCAACUUCAACAGUACAUUAUAAGACUCAUUCACCACAAUCAAGUAGGAUUUAUACUUUGGAUCCAAGGGUGGGUCAAUAUUUGCAAAUUAAUCAAUGUGAUAUACCACAUUAAUGAAGGAUUAGAACCAUACAAUCCUUUCAAUAGAUUCAGAAAAAGCAUUUGACCAAGUAUAACAUCUAUUUGUGACAAAAACCCUCAUCAAAGUAGAGUUAGAAGGAGCAUGCCCCAAGAUAAUAAAGGCCAUAUAUGAAAAAGCCACAGCUAAUAUCAUCCUCAAAAAGGAAAAACUGAGAGCUUUUCCUCUAUAGUCAGGACAAGACAGGGAUGUCCACUCUCAUCGUGACUGUGUAACAAAGUACUAGAAGUCUUAGCUGCAGCAAUUAGAUAACAAAAAGAAAUAAAAGGCACACAAAUCAUCAAGGGAAGGGGAAGGAAACAAUAUUCAAACUUUCAUGGGUAUUUGCUAGACUGAUGACACAAUACUCUGUCGAAACGAAGGACCCCUGAAAGACUCCAGCUCCCCCGAAAAAAAAAAAAAAAAAACAAACGUUGUUAUAAAAUAAUACCUAAAUUCAGCGUAAUUCAGCAAACUGACAGGAUAUAAAACCGAUGCAUAGAAGUCUGUUGUAUUUCCAUACGCCAAUAAUGAAGCAGCAGAAAGAGAAAUCAAGGAAUCUAUCCCAUUUACACUUGCACCAAAAACAAUACACUUAGGAAUACACCGAACUAAAGAGUUUGUAAAAGACCUGUACUCUGAAAAUUAUAAAAACACUGAUGACGGACACAAAGAAAAGAAAAUUGAAGAGGACACAAAGAAAUGGGGAAAAAAUUCCAUACUCAUGGAUUGAAAGAACAAAUAUGUUAAAAUAUCUAUGCUAUCCAAAGCAAUCUACACAUUUAAUGCAACCCCUAUAUUCAUACCAAUAGCAUUUUUCACAGAGCUAGAACAAACAAUCCUAAAUUUGUGUGGAACCAUAAAAGACUCAGAUAACCAAAGCAAUCUUAAAAGAAAGCAAAGCAAAGCUAAAGGCAUCACAAUUCUGGACUUCAAAUUAUAUUAUUAUAAAGCUGUAGUGAUCAAGACAGUAUAGUACUGGUACAAAACCAGGCACAACUGAACAAAAAAGAAAUCCCAGAAAUGAGCCCACAACUAUAUGGUCAAUUAAUCUUUGAUAAAGUAGGAAAGAGUAUCUAAUGGAAAAAUGACAAUCUCUUCAACAAAUAGUGUUGGGAAAACUAGACGGCCACAUGCAGAAGAAUGAAACUGGGCCACUUUCUUACACCAUACACAAAAAUAAAUUCAAAAUGGAUUAAAGAUAUAAAUAUGAGGUGGGAAACCAUUAAAAUCCUAGAGGAGAAUGUAGACAGUAACUUCUUUGACCUUGGCCAUAGCAACUUCUUUCUAGAUGAGUCUCCUGAGGCAAGGGAAACAAAAACAAAAAUAAACCAUUGAGACAUCAUCAAAAUAAAAAGCUUCUGCACAGCGGAGGAAACAUCAACAAAACUAAAAGGCAGACUACAGAUUGGGAGAAGAUAUUUGCAAAUGACAUAUCUGAUAAAGGGUUAGUAUCCAAAAUACAAAAAGAACUUAUAAAACUCAACACCCAAAAAACAAACAAUCCAGUUAAAAAAUGGGCAGAAGAUAUGACUAGACAUUUCUUCAAAGAUGUACAAAUGGCCAAUAGACACAUGAAAAAGUGCCCAACAUCACUGACCAUCAGGGAAAUACAAAUCAAAACUACAAUGAGAUAUCAUCUCACACCAAUCAGAAGAGCUAAAAUUAAUGACACAGGGACCAACGGAUGUUACUGAGGAUUCAGGGGAAGGGGAAUUUUCUCACCCUGUUGGUGGGAGUGCAAAUUGGUGCAGCCACUUUGGAAAAGAGUAUGGCAGUUCCUCAAAAAGUUAAAAAUAGAAUUACUCUAUGAUCCAGCAAUUGUGCUACUUAGGUAUUUAUCCAAAGGAUAUAAAAAUAUUAAUAUAAAGGGAAUACAUGCACUUCUAUGUUUAUAGUAGCAUUAUCAACAACAACAGCCAAAAUUAUGGGAAAGGAGCCCAAAAAAUGUUUUCAAUCAAUUGAUGAAAAUGAAUGGAUAAUAAAAAGAAAUGUUUUGAUGUAUAUAUACAAUGGAAUAUUACUCAGCCAUCAAAUUACUCUUGUCAUUUGCAACAAUGUAGAUGGAACUGAAGUGUAUUAAGCUAAGUGAAAGAAGUCAAAGAAAGACAAAUACCAUAUGGUUUCACUCAUAUGUGGAAUUUAAGAAACAAAACAGAUGAACAUAGAGGGGAAAACAGGAAAAGCAAGAAACAGACUCUUAAAUAUAGAGAACAAACUGAUGGUUACUAGAAGGGAGCUGGGCAGGGGGAUAGGUGAAAUAGGUGAUGGGGAUUAAGGAGGGUACUUGUGAUGAGCACUGGGUAUUAUAUGUUAAGUGCUGAAUCAGUGAAUUCCAUACCUGAAACUAAUAUAACACUAUAUGUUAACUAACUGGAAUUUAAGUAAAAACUUGGAAGAAAAUAAAUACGUAAAAUUACUAACUACAUUAAUUAUAAAUUAUUAAAAAUUCAGUCCUUUUUGUUUACUUAACCUUUAAUGGUUCAGCAUAUAUCUGGGUGAAAGAAAAAAAAGUGUUUCAUAUGAACUUGAAGGAGCAUGCAUUAUUCUUUUUUGAGUUCCUUUAGAAAUCAAGUUGGUUGACAGUAGUGUUCAGGUCAUCUCUGUCUUCUGACAGAGAUGGUAGGUUCUUUAAAUUCUGUCAGUUUUUGCUAUAUCUAUCUGAGGUAAUUUUCCCUAUUUCAAAAUCUACUUAGUCUGAUAUUAAUAAAGCCAUUCCAGCUUUCUUAUGUUUACACAUAUUCUGAGUAAAUAGUGUAUCUUUUUUCAUUCUUUUUACUUUCAUCUAUCUGAUUUUCUUGUACAUGUCAUAUAGGUCUAUUUUUGUGCAUAAUAAUCUCUGCCUUUUAAAAUGGUAUGUUUAUAUAAUUUAUAGUUAAAAUAGUUAUCAGUAUGAUUGUUGCUUUUAAAUCUACCAUUUGCAACUCAUGUGCUAAUUGCUCAUCUGCAGUUUGUCCAAUGUUCCUCUUUUCUUGGUUCUUUAUAAUUAUUUAUGUACAUUUUAAGAUUCCAUUUUAUAUUCACCAUUGAUUUAUUUUAUAUUUUGUUGAAUAGUCAUGGGUUUAUAUUAAGCUUCUGUACCUUAAUAGAGUCUAUUUUCAAAUAAUAUUAUACUACUUUAUGUGGUACACUUGCAAAAAUAUGCUUUUUAGACAGAAGCACAUAAAUAUAAUAGAUAAUAGUCUGCCCUUGAGAGACUUAUUAAAGAGAUGUGCACUGACCCUGGUGGGCGUGGUGCCUUAGGGUAGGGAACUCCAGGUUCAGGGGUACUAAGAGAAUGGUCUAGAUUAAAGAUCCUCUUGACCUUGCAGACUUUCACCUGCUGGAAAGGGCAAUAGCUAGAAGUCGACUGCAGCAAUGUCUUCUAAGUUUCAAGGCCCAGGGUCUACGGGCAAUAUUAUCUCUUAAUAUUGACUAUGCUCUUCAGCGUUAUGUCCUCAGGCAUUAGUUAGUCUCUUGAUCAGAGCUUCUAAUUUGAGAUAGAUUGGGAAAUAAUUUCUUUCAGAAUUAAACUCAAAGUACAAAAAAAAACUCAGAUUGGGUGGAAAAAAGAAAAAAAAAGGAAGUUUUUAAAAAUCAAGAAAAUUUUAGACAAAGUGGUGAAAGUAAUUGAAUUUUCACUGAUUGACA